CCCUUAGAUGUUCUGGGCCGCACGCGCGCUACACUGAUGCAUUCAACGAGCCUAUCCUUGGCCGACAGGUCCGGGUAAUCUUUGAACGUGAAUCGUGCUGGGGAUAGAUGAUUGCAAUUAUUCAUCUUCAACGAGGAAUUCCUAGUAAACGCAAGUCAUCAGCUUGCAUUGAUUACGUCCCUGCCCUUUGUACACACCGCCCGUCGCACCUACCGAUUGAAUGGUCCGGUGAAAUCUUCGGAUCUGAGAGAUGUUGGAUUAAUUUCAGACGCCUUUUGGAAAAGUCGCUUAAACCUUAUCAUUUAGAGGAAGGUGAAGUCGUAACA
RNAcentral lists this ribosomal RNA (326 nucleotides) under uncultured eukaryote. RNAcentral describes it as "partial 18S ribosomal RNA". It matches the Rfam family "Eukaryotic small subunit ribosomal RNA", at positions 1470 to 1796 of the family's 1831-position model. The record is from RNAcentral.